AGAUUUCAGGAGACCUGGGGGAAGUGAUCUUCAUCUUCCAACAUGUACUAAGGCAUAGCCUGAGAGAGAGAGAGAGAGAGAGAGAGAGAGAGAGAGAGAGAGAGAGGGUUAGUUGAGUUGAUCAGUGGAAACAGUGCCAACUGGAGUAGAUACUGAUGAAUCAAGGAAAUGUGUGAGAGAAAAGACAAAGCAUAGAAAACGCCAGAGGUUAGCUAUAUUGAAUUUGGGGACAAUGAGAUCAGGGCUCUCCUGUUGACCGAAAGCCUUACCUCUUGGGUUCAUUGGAGCAGGAUUUGCAAAAACAAACUGCAGAAAAGCCUUUUCUUUAGCCAGAAUUCUUAGUAGGCAGUCAUGUGGGGGUAAUGGCUCCCUUGUCUGCUCCCACUCCCUCCUCGCAUUCAGCCCCUCUGACUUCUGCCUGAACGGACAGAAGAACUGUUGCUGGAGCUCGGUGAAGUCAGUGGGGUCGGGGAGAGGGAGCCUCGCUCGUAGUGGCACCUCUGUUCUGACAAAGGCCCUGGUGUCUUACCUUUCCCUGCAUGGAAAGAGGCAGGAAGGGAGCUGGGAGUGAUUGAUGUCAGGCACUGCGCUAGGUGAUUUCUCCUUCAACAGCUAACUUAACUCUUAAAAUGCCCCCAUGAGGUAGGAAUUAUCAACCCCACUUUCACAGAAUAAGGAGCCGAGGAGAAUAAUCUACACGAUAUUAAGCCUCAGGAAGGUUGAGGACGUUGCAGUAACUUCAUAGCUACUCUGCGGUGCACUGGAGAUUUGUUUCCACAUCGGCCCCACUGUGGGAGCUGACUCCUCAGUGGCUUUGGAACCCUAUUGUCCAAGGUCCAAUGUCCUAAAUUAUGACAGUCAGGUACUCGGUGAUAAACGACAUCCAGGUCUCGCAGGACGAAGGAGAGGGAAGGAGAGACCUUGAUUCUGUCUGCCUCAGCUCACUAGCAUGUUCUGGUGUGGAGCCUUCCAUUUUCAGCUGGCUGGCAUAUGUCAGCUCUGGGGACCACCUUGGGAGCCACAAGAUGGAAGGAGCCCAGGCACUUGAAUCACACCGAGGAGGAGAGCUGUCCAGCCACAAGUAUCAGCCUUGGACCGUUACAGAUCAAGAUAGAACCUUUGA
This is a long non-coding RNA of Neofelis nebulosa (Clouded leopard), 1123 nucleotides long. RefSeq lists it as uncharacterized. Lineage: Eukaryota; Metazoa; Chordata; Mammalia; Carnivora; Felidae. The record is from RefSeq and is a predicted model, not a curated record. The transcript is spliced from 2 exons.